Molecule: ribosomal RNA, 429 nt
Filed under: Bacillota bacterium
Lineage: Bacteria; Bacillati; Bacillota
Description: Firmicutes bacterium partial 16S ribosomal RNA
Rfam family: Bacterial small subunit ribosomal RNA
Source: RNAcentral
UAGGGAAUCUUCGGCAAUGGACGGAAGUCUGACCGAGCAACGCCGCGUGAGUGAAGAAGGUCUUCGGAUCGUAAAGCUCUGUUGUUAGAGAAGAAAGUUGGUAGGAGUGGAAAAUCUACCAAGUGACGGUAACUAACCAGAAAGGGACGGCUAACUACGUGCCAGCAGCCGCGGUAAUACGUAGGUCCCGAGCGUUGUCCGGAUUUAUUGGGCGUAAAGCGAGCGCAGGCGGUUCUUUAAGUCUGAAGUUAAAGGCAGUGGCUUAACCAUUGUACGCUUUGGAAACUGGAGGAAUUGAGUGCAGAAGGGGAGAGUGGAAUUCCAUGUGUAGCGGUGAAAUGCGUAGAUAUAUGGAGGAACACCGGUGGCGAAAGCGGCUCUCUGGUCUGUAACUGACGCUGAGGCUCGAAAGCGUGGGGAGCAAACAGG